CCCAAUUGAUUGACGGUGCUUGCACCUGAUUGAUUUUCGUCUGCCAACGAGUGGCGGACGGGUGAGUAACACGUAGGUAACCUGCCCAGAAGCGGGGGACAACAUUUGGAAACAGAUGCUAAUACCGCAUAACAACGUUGUUCGCAUGAACAACGCUUAAAAGAUGGCUUCUCGCUAUCACUUCUGGAUGGACCUGCGGUGCAUUAGCUUGUUGGUGGGGUAACGGCCUACCAAGGCGAUGAUGCAUAGCCGAGUUGAGAGACUGAUCGGCCACAAUGGGACUGAGACACGGCCCAUACUCCUACGGGAGGCAGCAGUAGGGAAUCUUCCACAAUGGGCGCAAGCCUGAUGGAGCAACACCGCGUGAGUGAAGAAGGGUUUCGGCUCGUAAAGCUCUGUUGUUAAAGAAGAACACGUAUGAGAGUAACUGUUCAUACGUUGACGGUAUUUAACCAGAAAGUCACGGCUAACUACGUGCCAGCAGCCGCGGUAAUACGUAGGUGGCAAGCGUUAUCCGGAUUUAUUGGGCGUAAAGAGAGUGCAGGCGGUUUUCUAAGUCUGAUGUGAAAGCCUUCGGCUUAACCGGAGAAGUGCAUCGGAAACUGGAUAACUUGAGUGCAGAAGAGGGUAGUGGAACUCCAUGUGUAGCGGUGGAAUGCGUAGAUAUAUGGAAGAACACCAGUGGCGAAGGCGGCUACCUGGUCUGCAACUGACGCUGAGACUCGAAAGCAUGGGUAGCGAACAGGAUUAGAUACCCUGGUA
This 762-nucleotide ribosomal RNA is filed under the name uncultured bacterium. Its description in RNAcentral is "bacterial SSU rRNA". It matches the Rfam family "Bacterial small subunit ribosomal RNA", at positions 61 to 792 of the family's 1533-position model. The record is from RNAcentral.